Copidosoma floridanum is the source of this 137-nucleotide long non-coding RNA. The record is from RefSeq and is a predicted model, not a curated record. Lineage: Eukaryota; Metazoa; Arthropoda; Insecta; Hymenoptera; Encyrtidae.
AUCAAUUCAAUUUUUGAUUUUUGAAAUUGAACUGAUGAGGAAGAGAUUGGAGCCAUGUUUGAUAUUAUAAAAGUCAAUUUUUAAUUUCUCAAGACUUGUGUACCUGCAGAUUAAAAAUAAUUCACAAAAGAAUGAAG